This 253-nucleotide ribosomal RNA is filed under the name uncultured bacterium. RNAcentral describes it as "partial small subunit ribosomal RNA". It matches the Rfam family "Bacterial small subunit ribosomal RNA", at positions 26 to 285 of the family's 1533-position model. The record is from RNAcentral.
AGGACGAACGCUGGCGGCGUGCUUAACACAUGCAAGUCGAGCGGAAAGGCCCUUCGGGGUACUCGAGCGGCGAACGGGUGAGUAACACGUGAGUAAUCUGCCCCUAGCUCUGGGAUAGCUCCGGGAAACCGGGAUUAAUACCAGAUACGACCACUUUAGACAUCUGUUGUGGUGGAAAGAAUUUCGGCUAGGGAUGAACUCGCGGCCUAUCAGCUUGUUGGUGGGUAAUGGCCUACCAAGGCGACGACGGGUA